UACGUAGGGUGCGAGCGUUGUCCGGAAUUAUUGGGCGUAAGGGCUCGUAGGCGGUGUGUCACGUCGGCCGUGAAAACCUGCAGCUUAACUGUGGGCGUGCGGUCGAUACGGGCAUCACUGGAGUUCGGCAGGGGAGACUGGAAUUCCUGGUGUAGCGGUGAAAUGCGCAGAUAUCAGGAGGAACACCGGUGGCGAAGGCGGGUCUCUGGGCCGAUACUGACGCUGAGGAGCGAAAGCGUGGGGAGCGAACAGG
Molecule: ribosomal RNA, 253 nt
Filed under: uncultured bacterium
Lineage: Bacteria
Description: partial 16S ribosomal RNA
Rfam family: Bacterial small subunit ribosomal RNA
Source: RNAcentral